AACGACUCUCGGCAACGGAUAUCUCGGCUCACGCAUCGAUGAAGAACGUAGCAAAAUGCGAUACUUGGUGUGAAUUGCAGAAUCCCGUGAACCAUCGAGUUUUUGAACGCAAGUUGCGCCCGAAGCCAUCCGGUCGAGGGCACGUCUGCCUGGGCGUCACGC
This 162-nucleotide ribosomal RNA is filed under the name Ainsliaea apiculata. RNAcentral describes it as "5.8S ribosomal RNA". It matches the Rfam family "5.8S ribosomal RNA". From Rfam's summary of the family: 5.8S ribosomal RNA (5.8S rRNA) is a component of the large subunit of the eukaryotic ribosome. Lineage: Eukaryota; Viridiplantae; Streptophyta; Magnoliopsida; Asterales; Asteraceae. The record is from RNAcentral. RNAcentral also lists the same sequence under 9 other names.